UCUCAGUUCGGAUUGAAGGCUGAAAUUCGCCUACAUGAAGCUGGAGUUACUAGUAAUCGCAGAUCAGAAUGCUGCGGUGAAUGCGUUCCCGGGUCUUGUACACACCGCCCGUCACACCACGGAAGUUGGGGGCGCCCGAAGCCACUUAGCUAACCCUUUUGGGAAGCGAGUGUCGAAGGUGAAAUCAAUAACUGGGGUGAAGUCGUAACAAGGUAUC
Molecule: ribosomal RNA, 217 nt
Filed under: uncultured bacterium
Lineage: Bacteria
Description: partial 16S ribosomal RNA
Rfam family: Bacterial small subunit ribosomal RNA
Source: RNAcentral